This 497-nucleotide ribosomal RNA is filed under the name uncultured bacterium. Its description in RNAcentral is "partial 16S ribosomal RNA". It matches the Rfam family "Bacterial small subunit ribosomal RNA", at positions 28 to 507 of the family's 1533-position model. The record is from RNAcentral.
GAUGAACGCUGGCGGCGUGCCUAAUACAUGCAAGUCGAGCGAACAGACGAGGAGCUUGCUCCUCUGACGUUAGCGGCGGACGGGUGAGUAACACGUGGAUAACCUACCUAUAAGACUGGGAUAACUUCGGGAAACCGGAGCUACUACCGGCUAAUAUAUUGAACCGCAUGGUUCAAUAGUGAAAGACGGUUUUGCUGUCACUUAUAGCUGGAUCCGCGCCGCAUUAGCUAGUUGGUAAGGUAACGGCUUACCAAGGCAACGAUGCGUAGCCGACCUGAGAGGGUGAUCGGCCACACUGGAACUGAGACACGGUCCAGACUCCUACGGGAGGCAGCAGUAGGGAAUCUUCCGCAAUGGGCGAAAGCCUGACGGAGCAACGCCGCGUGAGUGAUGAAGGUCUUCGGAUCGUAAAACUCUGUUAUUAGGGAAGAACAAAUGUAUAAGUAACUAUGCACGUCUUGACGGUACCUAAUCAGAAAGCCACGGCUAACUACGUG